Molecule: long non-coding RNA, 831 nt
Organism: Aethalodelphis obliquidens (Pacific white-sided dolphin)
Lineage: Eukaryota; Metazoa; Chordata; Mammalia; Artiodactyla; Delphinidae
Exons: 2
Source: RefSeq, a predicted model, not a curated record
CCCGUGCGCAGCAACGGAGACCCAAUGUAGCCAAAAAUAAAUAAAUUAAAAAAAAAAAAAAAAGACUGAGUGACAGCAUCCGAAGAAGCCUGGCAUUGAGAGAGACCCUUGGUUCCUGGGGAACUGACAAUACUUCAGCCUUUCUAUCUGGAGCCUGGAGGGAGCAAUGGGGGAGAAGGAGGAAGUGUGGUGAGUUCUAUGAAUCUUCCCAGGGCUGAGUUGGCCAUUUGUAAGCUGAAUCAGUCACCGUUUCCUACUUCUUAGUCCUUCCUUCCUCCUUCCUUCUUUCCAGCCUCUCUCCCUCCUUUGCUCCUUUCCCUCUUCUUUUUAGGUGCAGUCCUUUAUUAGAGCAGAAAACUCCUAAACCACUUGUAUCCUACUUGCAGGAAUUGGAAACACUGGAAAGGAACAAAAAGCUUCAGAGCAGGCAAAGGAACAAAGAAGUACAAGGAGAUGUACGCCAACACUUCACAUGUUGGUGCCACCCGACACAACCUCUCAAUUAGCAGAUGCCACAGAUGAGGUCCUGGGAGUGGGACCCUCAUGACGGGAUUAGUGCCUUUAUAAGAAGAGACACCAGAGAGCUUGCUUGCUCACUCUCUGCCAUCUGUGGACACAGGGAGAAGACAGCCAUUUGCGAGCCAGGAAGAGAGCUCUCCGCAGUACAUGAACAUGCUGGCACCUUAUCUUGGACUUCCAGGCUCCAGAACUGUGACAAAAUUAAUUUCGGUUUUUUAAGCUACCCAGUCUAUGAUAUUUUGUUACGGCAGCCCGGCCUAAGGAAGGCAUCAAUAACAUUCACAGAAAUAAACUUCUAAAAGUUUUUACAAU